CUGUAAACCUGUUUAAUCCCAUACAUGAUCAACAAUCAUACAUAAAAAUUAAAACUUUUCUUUCAUUCAUUCCUCAUACACCAAACUCAACCUGUGCAUGCACUAAAACAUAAUCAUAAACUUGACCCCUCUGUGGGAUCUCAUCAAUGCCCCAAUGGGCGAUAUACAUGGGUUGAGUUGGCUAACAUCUAUAUCAUCAAAUAUCUAAGAUCAUGCAUCAACAAGGGAUUACAAUGAACUAUGGUCAAGCACAAUUCUAAACCUCAAUAUCAUUACACAUAACAUAACUAUUCAGUUAUACAUCAUCUUACAAUUUAUCAUGUCCAC
Molecule: long non-coding RNA, 327 nt
Filed under: Manihot esculenta (cassava)
Lineage: Eukaryota; Viridiplantae; Streptophyta; Magnoliopsida; Malpighiales; Euphorbiaceae
Description: long non-coding RNA (MESC_LNC005326)
Source: RNAcentral